Molecule: long non-coding RNA, 2878 nt
Filed under: Glycine max (soybean)
Lineage: Eukaryota; Viridiplantae; Streptophyta; Magnoliopsida; Fabales; Fabaceae
Description: long non-coding RNA (GMAX_LNC003983)
Source: RNAcentral
AACAAGUACUCUUUUGACUUGAGUUACGUUGAGAAGACAACCACAGAGACUCUAGUUUUGGGUGUUGGGCCUGUGAAGGCCCAAUUGGAGGGUGCUGAAAUGGGUGUUGCAUCUGAGAACGGUGGCUGCAACUGUGGAUCAAGCUGCACCUGUGACCCAUGCAACUGCAAGUAAGGUCAAGAUGUAUAACCUUGAAGCAGAGAUAGCUGUAAUAUAUGUAUCAACAAAUAAUAAGAAGUAGAAGUUGCGUUUGGAGCUUUAGAAUAAAGUGUUUGCUAUGUGUUUUGUUGGUCUUUUAUAAAUAUGUAAUUUGAAUCAUCAAUCUCUGCUUAUAAAUGAAUACUUUUGGUGUUAUAUGAAUAAAAAGUUUGUUGGGUUAUUUCAUUAAGUUGGGCAUAGCGGCAAUAAAGUUGCAUUUAAAUACAUUAUUACGGCUAAUUAAUAAUUAGAAUAAGAUUGAUGUUUGCUACGCAUUAUUACGGCUAAUAUAUAUAAAAUUCAAGAAGUUUCAACUGUAGCAAACAUCAAGUCAAUCUACCGUAAUGUUUCCAGAAUUGAUUGCUUCUGUAAAAAAAAAAAAGUUGAUUACUAAAAAAAGGAUUACUAUAAUAAAAAAUAAAAAAUAUAAAAAUUUGACCGAGCAAUAACGUUAUGAAAUAAAUAAAUUUAUCAUUAUUAAAAGUAGAAUAGAGCUUUCGAGCUUUUUUCCGCCUAAACUUACAGCAAAACAAAAAAAAAAAUUAUAGUCAUUAAAUAUGAUAUGCAAUUACAUCAUAUAUUUUUUAUAAUUGUAAUUAUAAUAAUGAUUAGCAAUUAUUAAAAAUUAGAAUAAUGAUAAUGGUUAAUAACUAUUAUAAUACUGCUAUAUAUAAUCUCUUUUUGGACGUUAUCCUCAAGACAUAUUUCGUUGAACACCUUGUGUGUUAAUUGAAAAAUCAAUUUAGUUAAAUUCACCUGUCAAUGGUGUAAGUAUGAUCAUGCUGCUUAUACAGGGUUGCUGUAACCAUUGCCUAUGCCGGAUCAUGUGUGACAGCACAUAUCAAUGGACUUUAUAGAGGGUCUACUCCUUUCGAAUGGCAAACAAGCUAUCUUUGUGGUGCUGGAUCGUUUGAGUAAAGCUGCACAUUUUAUACCCUUAUCACAUCCAUAUACUACCAGCACAAUAGCUCAAGCUUUUAUGGAUCAUGUUUUCAAGCUAUAUGGUUUUCCAUCCUCUAUAACAAGUGACAGGGAUUCAAUCUUCCUCAACAAAUUCUGGCAGGAAUUAAUGGCAUUCUAGGGUGUGCAAUUGCAACUAUCUAGUGCCUAUCACCCUCAGACGGAUGGACAAACUGAGGUAGUCAAUAGGUUUUUAGAAACCUAUUUGAGGUGUAUGUUUGUUGAUUCUCCUCAACAAUGGUCUAAGUGGUUACCUUUGGCAGAAUGGUGGUACAAUACCACUUUCCACUCAGCUAUUCAGACUACACCGUAUGAGGUAGUAUAUGGUCAGCCCCCUCCUAUUCAUCUACACUAUUUGCCUGGUGAAUCAAAGGUGCAAUUGGUGGAUCGCAGUUAGGCAAAAAGAAAGGAGAUGUUGAAGGUUUUAAAAUUUCAUCUCCAAAGAGCACAAAAUAGGAUGAAACAGGUGGCUGAUAAGCAUAGGUUUGACAAGCAAUUUUUUGUUGGAGACUUGGUUUAUGUAAAAUUGCAGGCCUAUAGGCAAGUGUCCAUUGCUCCAAGAGCUAAUGAGAAGCUAGCACCUAAAUACUUUGGGCCAUAUCCCGUGAUUAGUAGAAUUGGAGAGGUUGCCUAUGAAUUGAAGCUGCCUGAUCAUGCAAAAAUUCACAAUGUCUUUCAUGUUUCACAACUUAAGAAGCAUAUUGGUCAAUUCAUUCAUUCUCCAACACUACCUGAUUUUAUUCCUAAAGCUACAGGGCCUAAAGAACCAACAACAAUACUGGAUCCAAUGAUAUUGAAAAGAAAGGGACAAGCUGUCACAAAAGUUUUGGUUCAAUGGAAACAUCAACUUCCAGAGGAUUGGGAGUUCUAUUAUGACUUGAAGAGGAGGUUUCCACAGUUCGAUUCUUGAGGACAAGAAUUUUGUAAAGGGAGGGCUAUGUUAGGGAAAUGCAGUUACUCAUGUUAUUACUAAUAUAGCCUUGAUAGUUGUAAUUGAAAUCUAGAAUUGGUUGUUAGUUAGUUAGUUACUUGUUAUAAAUGGAGAUUUGUUGGUCAAGUUAGGCAGCUAUUGUAAAAAACUAUACUUUUGAAUCCUCCUCAUUGUAAUUGAUUCUAUAAUCAAUAAUAUUCAGUUUGGAUUUCUUUCUUCCCAUAGGAAUUCCUGGACAAAUUUCAGUCUAAUUCUUUGAAUCAUUGCAUAAAUUCCUAGGAUUUACUCUAUUUCCUAAACACCCAUAACAAUAAAUCAUCUUAGUUUCAAAAUAUAUAAAACAAAACUAUGAGUGUAUGUUUAAUUUGAAUUACCGAGAUAAACAUUUCACAUUCAUUCAUCAAAAUAAGAGAUACAAUCACACCCCUCGAUUGAAAAGAAUUCAAGCAUAGUUCGAAUUAAAAAAAGCUAUCAAUCGAUUACUAUGAAUGGAUUAAUCAAUCCUACCCCUAAUCCCAAAUCAAUUUCCCAUAUCUCAACAUAAUCACGCAUCAACUAAGAAAAUACAAAAAAUAGAAAAAGGGAGAAAGACACAAUUCAUAAAUAUGAAAGUUAAAGCAUGGAGGAACUCAAAUUUACGAUAGGCUUGAGACCUUGGAUUGAAAGGACAUUAGCUCUCCGUGAAAAUCUUCUUUGGAUGGUUUGAUUAAGCAAAAUAAGAAAAGAGAAGAAAGGGGAAAAAGAAAGAGAAGAGAGCACACAAACUUAUGAAAUUAAAAUGAGUGUAAU